RNAcentral lists this ribosomal RNA (604 nucleotides) under Metabacillus litoralis. Its description in RNAcentral is "bacterial SSU rRNA". It matches the Rfam family "Bacterial small subunit ribosomal RNA", at positions 555 to 1158 of the family's 1533-position model. The record is from RNAcentral. Lineage: Bacteria; Bacillati; Bacillota; Bacilli; Caryophanales; Bacillaceae.
UGGGCGUAAGCGCGCGCAGGUGGUUUCUUAAGUCUGAUGUGAAAGCCCACGGCUCAACCGUGGAGGGUCAUUGGAAACUGGGGAACUUGAGUGCAGAAGAGGAAAGUGGAAUUCCAAGUGUAGCGGUGAAAUGCGUAGAGAUUUGGAGGAACACCAGUGGCGAAGGCGACUUUCUGGUCUGUAACUGACACUGAGGCGCGAAAGCGUGGGGAGCGAACAGGAUUAGAUACCCUGGUAGUCCACGCCGUAAACGAUGAGUGCUAAGUGUUAGAGGGUUUCCGCCCUUUAGUGCUGCAGCUAACGCAUUAAGCACUCCGCCUGGGGAGUACGGUCGCAAGACUGAAACUCAAAGGAAUUGACGGGGGCCCGCACAAGCGGUGGAGCAUGUGGUUUAAUUCGAAGCAACGCGAAGAACCUUACCAGGUCUUGACAUCCCACUGCCCGGUAUAGAGAUAUACCUUUCCCUUCGGGGACAGUGGUGACAGGUGGUGCAUGGUUGUCGUCAGCUCGUGUCGUGAGAUGUUGGGUUAAGUCCCGCAACGAGCGCAACCCUUGAUCUUAGUUGCCAGCAUUUAGUUGGGCACUCUAAAGUGACUGCCGGUGA